GCUCAUUUUAUCAGCACAUAUAUUAAAAUUGGAACUAUAGAGAAGAUUAAUAUAGCUUCUCUGCUCAAGGAUGAGACAAAUACAUAAAGUAUUCCAUAUCUUU
Small nuclear RNA from Marmota monax (woodchuck), 103 nucleotides. The record is from RefSeq and is a predicted model, not a curated record. Lineage: Eukaryota; Metazoa; Chordata; Mammalia; Rodentia; Sciuridae.